GAUGAUGUUCUCUGCGACGAGCUGAACGAUAUU
Molecule: non-coding RNA, 33 nt
Filed under: Saccharolobus solfataricus
Lineage: Archaea; Thermoproteati; Thermoproteota; Thermoprotei; Sulfolobales; Sulfolobaceae
Also listed under: 2 other names
Source: RNAcentral